UACGUAGGGUGCGAGCGUUAAUCGGAAUUACUGGGCGUAAAGUGUGCGCAGGCGGCCGCGCAAGUCGAGUGUGAAAGCCCCGGGCUUAACUUGGGAAUUGCGCUCGAAACUACGUGGCUGGAGUGUGGCAGAGGAAGGUGGAAUUCCAGGUGUAGCGGUGAAAUGCGUAGAGAUCUGGAGGAACACCGAUGGCGAAGGCAGCCCCCUGGGCCAAUACUGACGCUCAUGCACGAAAGCGUGGGGAGCAAACAGG
This 253-nucleotide ribosomal RNA is filed under the name uncultured bacterium. Its description in RNAcentral is "partial 16S ribosomal RNA". It matches the Rfam family "Bacterial small subunit ribosomal RNA", at positions 524 to 776 of the family's 1533-position model. The record is from RNAcentral.